AGAGUUUGAUCCUGGCUCAGAUUGAACGCUAGCGGGAUGCCUUACACAUGCAAGUCGAACGGCAGCGCGGACUUCGGUCUGGCGGCGAGUGGCGAACGGGUGAGUAAUGUAUCGGAACGUGCCCAGUAGCGGGGGAUAACUACUCGAAAGAGUAGCUAAUACCGCAUACGCCCUACGGGGGAAAGGGGGGGAUCGCAAGACCUCUCACUAUUGGAGCGGCCGAUAUCGGAUUAGCUAGUUGGUGAGGUAAAGGCUCACCAAGGCGACGAUCCGUAGCUGGUUUGAGAGGACGACCAGCCACACUGGGACUGAGACACGGCCCAGACUCCUACGGGAGGCAGCAGUGGGGAAUUUUGGACAAUGGGGGCAACCCUGAUCCAGCCAUCCCGCGUGUGCGAUGAAGGCCUUCGGGUUGUAAAGCACUUUUGGCAGGAAAGAAAUCGCAUGGAUUAAUACUCUGUGUGGAUGACGGUACCUGCAGAAUAAGCACCGGCUAACUACGUGCCAGCAGCCGCGGUAAUACGUAGGGUGCAAGCGUUAAUCGGAAUUGCUGGGCGUAAAGCGUGCGCAGGCGGUUCGGAAAGAAAGAUGUGAAAUCCCAGGGCUUAACCUUGGAACUGCAUUUUUAACUCCCGAGCUAGAGU
RNAcentral lists this ribosomal RNA (644 nucleotides) under uncultured bacterium. RNAcentral's name for it is "bacterial SSU rRNA". It matches the Rfam family "Bacterial small subunit ribosomal RNA", at positions 8 to 647 of the family's 1533-position model. The record is from RNAcentral.